UACAGAGGGUGCAAGCGUUGUUCGGAAUUAUUGGGCGUAAAGCGCGUGUAGGCGGCUUUGCAAGUCGGGUGUGAAAGCCCUCAGCUCAACUGAGGAAGUGCGCCCGAAACUGCAGAGCUUGAGUACCGGAGAGGAUGGCGGAAUUCCCCAAGUAGAGGUGAAAUUCGUAGAUAUGGGGAGGAACACCGGUGGCGAAGGCGGCCACCUGGACGGUAACUGACGCUGAGACGCGAAAGCGUGGGGAGCAAACAGG
Molecule: ribosomal RNA, 253 nt
Filed under: uncultured bacterium
Lineage: Bacteria
Description: partial 16S ribosomal RNA
Rfam family: Bacterial small subunit ribosomal RNA
Source: RNAcentral